ACUGAAAAGGGUCAAAAGGGAAAAUCGAAAGUUUUUCCCAUAGCCCCCAUGUGUGUAGUAGAGAGGAAGCAGUCGACGUUUCAUCAAAUUUUCCAGACCUCCAGCCCUCACAUUCCAUUGCCCGUGACUCGUGGAGCGCUGUCGCUCGUUGAACGAUGAUCUUCGCCGCCGAUUGUCAUAAUUGUUUGACCAGUCAGUGUUCCUCUCUCUUUUUUUUUUCUCUCUCAGCCAAUUGGGUUGCAAAUCGGACGCCACCCCUCGCCCCUCACCACCUUACGUCAUCGUUGAUCCAGCACUGCUGAUUGCACAACCACGUCCCCCGACAGUCUCUCCUCCGUUUACCUCGCGCCGGAUCUCUCUCUCCCUAUCUUUAGCAAGUCGCCAUGAGUCGCUGCCGCCUCUUUGGAUAGGACGCCGACAAGCGUUGAUCAUUUCUUUCACCAAUCUGUCGUUUGGAGAUUUGAAGUAUAGAUUUCAAUUUUUGGAAGUCGUUGGGGCGUUGUCCAGCGUUAUAAAGAUCGACUUUUUGUGGAUUUUGGUUGAGUUUUUGGAUUGAAGCUUGAGGUGGUUUUGGGUCGAGCCUCACUUUUGAUAAGUUCAUCGGAGUCAUUUUAAUAAAUUUGAUUAAUUGGAAUUAGACCCUAAAGGUUUAAUAGGUUUAAUUUAACUUUGGUUUACUAUUUUAGGUUUUGGAUUAAAGUUUUGUUUUGCAAGGAGAAGAUAAGCUUGCUUGAGUAUUUAUUGUUUGAACUUAGUUCUAAGGUAAGUAAUCUUGCUAUUAAAAUUGCCUUCGUGUCGGUUGACGUAAUUAGAAUAUUAUUAUUUCCCUAAGGUUAUUUGUAUGUUUUUCUUUAGUAUAGAGGAUGUAUGAGCAUGAUGUUAUAUUGUUAAGUAUGUUAUGAUGAAGUAUGAGCAUGGUGUUGAUUUUAUAAGUUAUAAUAUGAAAAUGUAUGAGCAUGAUGUUGAUUUUAUAAGUUAUAAUAUGAGAAUGUAUGAGUAUGAUGUUAUAUUUCCAUGCAAUGGGCCUUUGUUUAAUAUGUAUGAUAAAUAUGUUAGUGAUAAUUGCCUCCUAGUUGUAGUCAUGUAUCCACUAGAGGCUUGUGUUUUUUUUAGGAUUUACCAGAGGUUUGUGUUUCCUUUGGAAUUCAUCAAAGGUUGUGUUUUCUUCGGGGAUUCACCAGAGGUUUGUGAUUUCCUUCGGGUCUGCACCAAAGGUUAGUGAUUUCAUUCGGGUUUUAACUAGAGGUUUGUGGGUACAUCUCAUCUAUAAUAAGGCAAGUUCAACUAAUCACCUGAUGACCAUCCAUGAUUGGUAGAGGUCUUUACACGUCCCACUAAAAUGUUACAUUUAUUGGACAUAAAUGCAUAGGUUGAUCACGGUAGUGGGGUUACUUUAUACUUAUUCUUUAUUAUGUUAUGUUUUUCAGGUAAGGGUAAAGAUGCGCCGACGAAUGACAGGAGAAAUCCAUGAUUGUGUCACUGAGACUAAUCAGAUGCUUCCGCUCAUGUUUUCAUGUUUUCAAAUCUCAAAUUUGCAAUUGAAUUUAGAAAGUUUUUAGUUUUUGCGUUGUUGAUUGAUUUAGAUAAAAACAUUUUCUUGUGAUGCUUUAUUUUUUAUAAGGGUACCUUGAUUAAUGACUUCCUGUUAUAUAGUUUGAACAAAAGUUAUUUAUUUUAUAAUAUUUAUUUGGUUAUA
Non-coding RNA from Benincasa hispida (wax gourd), 1696 nucleotides. Lineage: Eukaryota; Viridiplantae; Streptophyta; Magnoliopsida; Cucurbitales; Cucurbitaceae. The record is from RefSeq and is a predicted model, not a curated record.